GCUGCACCAUCACUGUUAGCACUUAGCAACAACAAGCUCGACAACUUAACUGUACGUUUUCACCUUCCGUGCCGACGACCACGCAUUAAAGAGUCUCCCGUGUCACAGAUAAGCAGAACAAAACGCACAGCUGGAGCGUCUGCAGAGGUUUUGGUGGGAAUCUGGUCUCCAUCCACGACGCCUUGGAAAAUUCAGCCGUUAAAGAACUGAUUAAGGAAAAGUCUGGUAGUUUGGUAGACACCUGGAUCGGACUCCAUGAUUCAGUCGAGGAGAGUGACCUGAUGUGGACUGAUGGUACAGCCAUUGACUUUGAUGACUUUGGAUGUGGCGAGCCUUCUGGUGACGACUGCGUUGAGAUAAAAGGGACUGAUGAGCAGUGGAAUGAUACCAAGUGCAAUGAUGAACUUCCAUUUGUUUGUGCCAAAAAUUGUGACUAAAAGACCCUCACCACUGCUGUCAUUUUUUUGAGUACAAAUGGCAACUAUUAAUAUUAGUACAAGUAGUAUGUUGAUUGUACACCGCCAUCGUCCACUGCUGUCAA
This is a long non-coding RNA of Dunckerocampus dactyliophorus (ringed pipefish), 541 nucleotides long. RefSeq lists it as uncharacterized. NCBI's taxonomy places the organism in Eukaryota, Metazoa, Chordata, Actinopteri, Syngnathiformes, Syngnathidae. The transcript has 4 exons. The record is from RefSeq and is a predicted model, not a curated record.